Molecule: ribosomal RNA, 280 nt
Filed under: uncultured bacterium
Lineage: Bacteria
Description: partial 16S ribosomal RNA
Rfam family: Bacterial small subunit ribosomal RNA
Source: RNAcentral
ACUUGCUUUCUUUGCCGGCGACCGGCGCACGGGUGAGUAACACGUAUCCAACCUGCCCUUUACUCGGGGAUAGCCUUUCGAAAGAAAGAUUAAUACCCGAUGGCAUAAUGAUUCCGCAUGGUUUCAUUAUUAAAGGAUUCCGGUAAAGGAUGGGGAUGCGUUCCAUUAGGUUGUUGGUGAGGUAACGGCCCACCAAGCCUUCGAUGGAUAGGGGUUCUGAGAGGAAGGUCCCCCACAUUGGAACUGAGACGCGGUCCAAACUCCUACGGGAGGCAGCAUG